UACGGGGGGGGCAAGCGUUGUUCGGAAUUACUGGGCGUAAAGGGCUCGUAGGUGGCCAACUAAGUCGGACGUGAAAUCCCUCAGCUUAACUGGGGAACUGCGUCCGAUACUGGAUGGCUUGAAUUCGGGAGAGGGAUGCAGAAUUCCAGGUGUAGCGGUGAAAUGCGUAGAUAUCUGGAGGAAUACCGGUGGCGAAGGCGGCAUCCUGGACCGACAUUGACGCUGAGGAGCGAAAGCUAGGGGAGCAAACGGG
RNAcentral lists this ribosomal RNA (253 nucleotides) under uncultured bacterium. Its description in RNAcentral is "partial 16S ribosomal RNA". It matches the Rfam family "Bacterial small subunit ribosomal RNA", at positions 524 to 776 of the family's 1533-position model. The record is from RNAcentral.